GAUGAACGCUGGCGGCGUGCCUAAUACAUGCAAGUCGAGCGAACGGACGAGAAGCUUGCUUCUCUGAUGUUAGCGGCGGACGGGUGAGUAACACGUGGAUAACCUACCUAUAAGACUGGGAUAACUUCGGGAAACCGGAGCUAAUACCGGAUAAUAUUUUGAACCGCAUGGUUCAAAAGUAAAAGACGGUCUUGCUGUCACUUAUAGAUGGAUCCGCGCUGCAUUAGCUAGUUGGUAAGGUAACGGCUUACCAAGGCAACGAUGCAUAGCCGACCUGAGAGGGUGAUCGGCCACACUGGAACUGAGACACGGUCCAGACUCCUACGGGAGACAGCAGUAGGGAAUCUUCCGCAAAGGGCGAAAGCCUGACGGAGCAACGCCGCGUGAGUGAUGAAGGUCUUCGGAUCGUAAAACUCUGUUAUUAGGGAAGAACAUAUGUGUAAGUAACUGUGCACAUCUUGACGGUACCUAAUCAGAAAGCCACGGCUAACUACGUG
RNAcentral lists this ribosomal RNA (497 nucleotides) under uncultured bacterium. RNAcentral describes it as "partial 16S ribosomal RNA". It matches the Rfam family "Bacterial small subunit ribosomal RNA", at positions 28 to 507 of the family's 1533-position model. The record is from RNAcentral.